UUCGGUUUUUCAGAACGGCCACGUGAACUGUCAGCGUACAGCGUGCUCUAGUGACAAAGAAUGCUAUUUUCUGCUGUACAGUGAGAAAGGAGCCUGUUGUAAGUUAUGUAAAGGUUGUUAUUUAAACGGAAGGUUCCAUGAAAGUGAAACUGAGUGGGUGGAUAGCAGCGACCCCUGUCGAACGUAUUCUUGUCAAUCUGGGAUCCUAACAGAAGCUAGGCUUCACUGCCACGUUCCAUGCCGCAACCCUCAGCUACCUAGGCCUGGAGAAUGUUGUCCUGCUUGUCAAGGU
Limulus polyphemus (Atlantic horseshoe crab) is the source of this 292-nucleotide long non-coding RNA. RefSeq lists it as uncharacterized. Lineage: Eukaryota; Metazoa; Arthropoda; Merostomata; Xiphosura; Limulidae. The transcript is spliced from 3 exons. The record is from RefSeq and is a predicted model, not a curated record.